Molecule: non-coding RNA, 1800 nt
Organism: Danio rerio (zebrafish)
Lineage: Eukaryota; Metazoa; Chordata; Actinopteri; Cypriniformes; Danionidae
Source: RefSeq, a predicted model, not a curated record
AUCUAUCAAAAUUUAUCACAUUUCUUUUAGAAACAUAAUAUAAAUUUUGUCACAGGGUGCAUGCACAUUGUACUAAAAAUUCUCCUCUCUGUUGUCAGGUAUUUGCUGCAAUGAAACUACACAUUUUUAAAUAUAAUUCAUUUCGCCGUCAUGCAAGACUUUGCAUUGAACCUGCUAUUGUCCACAAGUGGAGAAAUUGGCAGAGUGAAAUGCUAGAACAGCUCAGUCGAAGAGAGAAUGUGAUUGUUGGAGGAGAUAUGAGGGCUGACUCCCCAGGUCACUCGGCCAAGUAUGGGAGUUAUACAAUGAUGGACCUUGCAACUAACACAGUGGUCGACCUACAGUUAGUCCAGAGUAAUGAGGUGGGUGGCAGUUACCAUAUGGAAAAAGAAGGCCUAAAGAGAAGCCUUGACCUGUUGGAUGCCUGCGGUGUUCGUCUGGAAUGCAUCAUCACAGACCGACAUCCUCAAAUACAGAAAUAUCUCAGGGAUCGAAAUGUCACUCAGUUUUACGAUGUGUGGCAUAUCGAGAAAGGUAUGUAAUUUAGCAGUUAUUAAUUUACUUAAGAUUAAAUUGCUAUUUACAGUUCUUACAUGUUUAAUAUUAUUUUUGUGUUGAUGUCUUUUUUUCUUUAAUUUCCAGGAAUUUCUAAAAAACUGGACAAGAUAUGCCAGAUAAAGGGGUGUGAGAAGUUGCGUAAAUGGUUACAUAGCAUCAAAAACCACAUCUACUGGACUGCUGCAUCAUCCACAACAGGUCCUGAAAGAGUGGCAAAGUGGACCUCUAUCUUAAACCAUGUACAAGACAAACAUGUACAUGAAGACCCCAAUUUUCCGGCUUGUCUGCAUCCGCAACGGAUAAGCAGAGACAAGAACAAAUGGCUGUCGGCUGCAACGAUGCCAUUCUACAAGCUGGAGAAAGUUCUCGCUAACAAGAGAAUAUUGAAGGAUGUGGCCAAGCUAAGUCCUCACCACCAGACGUCAACUGUUGAAGCUUUCCACAGCGUCAUACUGCGGUUUGCACCCAAAAAAUGUGGUAUUCCCUUUUCUGGGGAUGCUAUGCAGGUUGUACUUGGCUGCACUGCAUUACAAUGAAAAUGCCGGGCGUCCCCAGGCCACAUCAGCAACUGGUAAACCUAUUUACAAGCUUGCCUUUCCAAAGGCAAAGAAAGGAGAGUAUAGGGUCCGAGAAGUGAAGACACAGCAAACUUUCGGUUAUGUAGAAGAGCUGCUGGACCUCAUCUUCAACCAAGUGUUUGUGGACCCAUCACCCUAUGUUGAUGAAGUGUUGGGAAUUCACAUACCACCUGCUCUAUCAUCAGCCUACGAUCGACCUGAGAUGGAGGAGGCUAUCUCCAGCAGGGUGACCCGCUUCAAUCAAUAGCUAUCCUAAAACCCACAUAGCUGCCCUGCUCUUCAGGAAACUGUCUUCGAAUCUUCAGCACCACACAGGCAGGAAUCACAACACGGACUCUCCGCCCGAGGAAACCCCAACACCAGCUCACAAAGCUCCGAUAAGCCAAAAAGCGGCACUGUCUAACAGAGACAUAAUAAUGAAACAUUGUUUUAGAAAUUGCACUACAAUUUGAACUUGGGAGUUAUCACAUAUACAUUUUUAUUUUUUAUAAAAUAACUAGCUUUAACAAAAUUUCAGAAGUCAUAUUUUGUUUAUUCAACUGCCAAUGUAUAUUUGAUAUGUUUGUAUGUGUUUGUAGAUAUACUGUACUUUCUAAUGUUCAUGGACAAUUGUAUUUCAUUCAACAAAGUGACAACUUGGAGUUUAUAUUUUAUAUUUGCAAAA